UACGGGGGGGGCAAGCGUUGUUCGGAAUUACUGGGCGUAAAGGGCUCGUAGGCGGCCAACUAAGUCAGACGUGAAAUCCCUCGGCUUAACCGGGGAACUGCGUCUGAUACUGGAUGGCUUGAGUUCGGGAGAGGGAUGCGGAAUUCCAGGUGUAGCGGUGAAAUGCGUAGAUAUCGAGAGGAACACCGGUGGCGAAGGCGGCCUUCUGGACAGUGACUGACGCUGAGACGCGAAAGCGUGGGGAGCAAACAGG
RNAcentral lists this ribosomal RNA (253 nucleotides) under uncultured bacterium. RNAcentral's name for it is "partial 16S ribosomal RNA". It matches the Rfam family "Bacterial small subunit ribosomal RNA", at positions 524 to 776 of the family's 1533-position model. The record is from RNAcentral.